GGAAUCUUCCACAAUGGACGAAAGUCUGAUGGAGCAACGCCGCGUGAGUGAUGAAGGUUUUCGGAUCGUAAAACUCUGUUGUAAGGGAAGAACAAGUACGAGAGGUAAUGCUCGUACCUUGACGGUACCUUACGAGAAAGCCACGGCUAACUACGUGCCAGCAGCCGCGGUAAUACGUAGGUGGCAAGCGUUGUCCGGAAUUAUUGGGCGUAAAGCGCGCGCAGGCGGCCUUUUAAGUCUGAUGUGAAAGCCCCCGGCUCAACCGGGGAGGGUCAUUGGAAACUGGAAGGCUUGAGUACAGAAGAGAAGAGUGGAAUUCCAUGUGUAGCGGUGAAAUGCGUAGAGAUGUGGAGGAACACCAGUGGCGAAGGCGACUCUUUGGUCUGUAACUGACGCUGAGGCGCGAAAGCGUGGGGAGCAAACAGGAUUAGAUACCCCAG
RNAcentral lists this ribosomal RNA (440 nucleotides) under uncultured Exiguobacterium sp. Its description in RNAcentral is "bacterial SSU rRNA". It matches the Rfam family "Bacterial small subunit ribosomal RNA", at positions 358 to 790 of the family's 1533-position model. The record is from RNAcentral. Lineage: Bacteria; Bacillati; Bacillota; Bacilli; Caryophanales.